GGAGAAGAAGAGGUUGCAGCUCUCAUCAUUGAACUGCUCAUGGCACAUUUUAAGGAAAAAACAGAGGACCUCAUACUUAAGACAGAGCUAGUGCUGCUAACGUGGAAAGGACCCUUGACCGGGCAGAGAGCCCAUGGUUGAUUAUUCCUGGUGAAAAGCUUAGUGGACAGAAAUGGAUGGUUGGAAUUGAAGGCCAGGUGGUAUGUGAAGUGGUGCAGCCCACGUUUUCAUCUGGACUGGCAACACUCUUUGCAUGCUAUUACAACUUUAACCUCCAGUAUCAAGAGACUGCUGCCUGUACUCUUGAAUUCAU
Long non-coding RNA from Pygocentrus nattereri (red-bellied piranha), 313 nucleotides. RefSeq lists it as uncharacterized. The record is from RefSeq and is a predicted model, not a curated record. The transcript is spliced from 3 exons. Lineage: Eukaryota; Metazoa; Chordata; Actinopteri; Characiformes; Serrasalmidae.